UAGCCCUCGGGCACCAUCUCUCACCCCGGACGUGCAUCAGGCUUCCUUCUCCCAGGGGUGAUUAGGCAAGCCUGUGAAUAAUCCAGACCCAGCAGCUGCCAAGUCCCAAAAGGAGCAGACAUUUUACAUCAUGUGCAAAGCCACGUGGGAAAACGUGCUGGCUCGUUUGUUGACUCAAAGUAGAACCAUCCAUUGAAGAUGAGGGAGUCUUAAUUGAGGAGGAAUCACUUACAUCAACCUGGCCAGUCAGAAGAGGGCACCAGACCUCAUUACAGAUGGUUGUG
Myodes glareolus (Bank vole) is the source of this 284-nucleotide long non-coding RNA. RefSeq lists it as uncharacterized. NCBI's taxonomy places the organism in Eukaryota, Metazoa, Chordata, Mammalia, Rodentia, Cricetidae. The record is from RefSeq and is a predicted model, not a curated record.